AUUGAACGCUGGCGGCAUGCCUUACACAUGCAAGUCGAACGGCAGCACGGGAGCAAUCCUGGUGGCGAGUGGCGAACGGGUGAGUAAUACAUCGGAACGUGCCCAAUCGUGGGGGAUAACGCAGCGAAAGCCGUGCUAAUACCGCAUACGAUCUACGGACGAAAGCAGGGGAUCGCAAGACCUUGCGCGAAUGGAGCGGCCGAUGGCAGAUUAGGUAGUUGGUGAGGUAAAGGCUCACCAAGCCGUCGAUCUGUAGCUGGUCUGAGAGGACGACCAGCCACACUGGGACUGAGACACGGCCCAGACUCCUACGGGAGGCAGCAGUGGGGAAUUUUGGACAAUGGGCGAAAGCCUGAUCCAGCCAUGCCGCGUGCAGGAUGAAGGCCUUCGGGUUGUAAACUGCUUUUGUACGGAACGAAACGGCCUUUUCUAAUAAAGAGGGCUAAUGACGGUACCGUAAGAAUAAGCACCGGCUAACUACGUGCCAGCAGCCGCGGUAAUACGUAGGGUGCAAGCGUUAAUCGGAAUUACUGGGCGUAAAGCGUGCGCAGGCGGUUAUGUAAGACAGUUGUGAAAUCCCCGGGCUCAACCUGGGAACUGCAUCUGUGACUGCAUAGCUAGAGUACGGUAGAGGGGGAUGGAAUUCCGCGUGUAGCAGUGAAAUGCGUAGAUAUGCGGAGGAACACCGAUGGCGAAGGCAAUCCCCUGGACCUGUACUGACGCUCAUGCACGAAAGCGUGGGGAGCAAACAGG
RNAcentral lists this ribosomal RNA (753 nucleotides) under uncultured Comamonadaceae bacterium. RNAcentral describes it as "bacterial SSU rRNA". It matches the Rfam family "Bacterial small subunit ribosomal RNA", at positions 28 to 776 of the family's 1533-position model. Lineage: Bacteria; Pseudomonadati; Pseudomonadota; Betaproteobacteria; Burkholderiales; Comamonadaceae. The record is from RNAcentral.